Molecule: long non-coding RNA, 1015 nt
Filed under: Coffea arabica (coffee)
Lineage: Eukaryota; Viridiplantae; Streptophyta; Magnoliopsida; Gentianales; Rubiaceae
Description: long non-coding RNA (CARA_LNC006900)
Source: RNAcentral
GAGACUGAAUAUUAGACAUUAAUGGUACUUAUUCUUAAGUUAAGAAUACAAAGCUGGAUGGAAAAGGAGGAAAGGGAUGAUAGCAGAUUCGUUCUAUUCUGCUAUCGACAAAGAUAGAUGAUAGAUCAAGGGACAAAAUUUACAAAAGCUUCAACUAAACAAAAUUCCAUGAACUCCAAUUAGCAAGACUUUCAGCUAACCGGAGUUUGUCAGAGGCAUACCUUUUCCCCAAACCUUCAACUAAACAAAAUUCCAUGAACUCCAAUCAGCAAGACUUUCAGCUAACAGGAGUUUGUCGAUGCAUACCUUUUCCCCAAACCUAUAAGAAAACCUCAAAACUCCUUGUGAAUUCACAGAACCAUUUUGCACAGGAUGACUCACAACAGCACUGCCCCCAACAGGAUAUGCAUAAUCAAACAAAUCUUUCAUGGAGGUAUGAACUUCUCCUAUGUACCUAUCCCCUAGUUUACGUUUACAGUACAGUUUAAUGACGAGCACAGUGUUGAAAUGUUGUACCAUGGACUCAUUUAUGGUGUACUUCAAAGUGAAAUUCCAUGCAGGGUUGACCUCGCCAUGCUUGUCUGCUGGAGUUCUCCUCUCUGCUUCGCUGCUUCCCCCUAUUGAAACCCUCAAGUAAACUUUCAUCUUGAAAAAUUUUCGAACAUCUUCCAAGUCAUUUGCUGACAAAAGGGUUAUCUCAAAUUUUCUGCAGUCCAUCUUUUGGAGUUAAUUCGCAGAAAUUGGAAUAACAACAGGCAGAAGAAAGAAGAAGCGGUUUUUUUUUUGGGUUAAGUGGGAGUCCAAGUUAUGAAGCAUACUCUAACCACCGCAAGUAUUGAUUUAUAGACAUAGCAUUGCUGACUCGACUAUGAGAUGAGAAAUUCUGAAGCAGUUUCGUCAUAAGCCUCUCUUUCUAUGAAAUCAUUCACGUAUGGACUAAUUUCAGUUUGUACCCCUAAACUUAUACCAUUUCAUUUUGCAUCUUAACUUUAAUUUUAAAUACUUUGCGCCCCAA